RNAcentral lists this ribosomal RNA (494 nucleotides) under uncultured bacterium. Its description in RNAcentral is "partial 16S ribosomal RNA". It matches the Rfam family "Bacterial small subunit ribosomal RNA", at positions 28 to 507 of the family's 1533-position model. The record is from RNAcentral.
GACGAACGCUGGCGGCGUGCUUAACACAUGCAAGUCGAACGGUGAAGCGCCUUCCUUUUUGGUGGGUGUGGAUGAGUGGCGAAGGGGAGAGACACGCGAGAGUAACGUGCCCCCUUCUUGUGGAAAACCGCAAGAGAGUGGGGCUAAUGGGGGAUAUUGUGGGUCUGGCGCGUGGGGGGUGGGGGAGAGAUAGUGUUUGUGGGGGGUGGGGGCUCGCGGUCUAUGAGCUUGUGGGUGGGGUGGGGGCCUACCAAGGCGGUGACGGGUAGCCGGCCUGAGAGGGUGGACGGUCACACUGGGACUGAGACACGGCCCAGACUCCUACGGGAGGCAGCAGUGGGGAAUAUUGCACAAUGGGCGCAAGCCUGAUGCAGCGACGCCGCGUGAGGGAUGGAGGCCUUCGGGUUGUGAACCUCUUUCGCCAGUGAAGCAGGCCUGCCUCGUUUGUGGGUGGGUUGACGGUAGCUGGAUAAGAAGCGCCGGCUAACUACGUG